RNAcentral lists this small RNA (107 nucleotides) under Marmota monax (woodchuck). The record is from RNAcentral. Lineage: Eukaryota; Metazoa; Chordata; Mammalia; Rodentia; Sciuridae.
GCUGGGCACCAUGGUACAUGCCUGUAAUCCCAGUGACUUGGGAGACUGAGGCAGGAGGAUCACAAGUGUGAAACAAGUCUGGGCAACUUAGUGAGAGCCUGCCUCAA